ACAUCAUUAAAUAAGAAAAGGAGUUUCAUUUAUAUAUUCAGAGAUUUUCGGAUUUUAGAAAUCUUUAUUUUUUAUUUUUUUGUCCGAGAUGAAACAUUAGGGUUUCUUAUGGGAGAUCUGUUAGAUUAUUAUCGGUGGUUUAUAAGAUGGAGAUUGAUAAUUUCUCCUGGUUUUUUUGUUUGGUAUUGUUGAUUUUGGUUUCUCUGGUAAACUCACUGCUAAAUAUAAAAUUGGGUUUUGAAAUGUUUCUAAAAUAUGAAGCUUGAGGUUGAAGAAGAUCAAAAUCGCUGCUGUGGGAGAAGGUGUGGAUGCCGGUGAAAAUGUAGACUAAACUCAACAUUGUCGAUUCCACAACGGAAAGGGAAGAUUAAUUACGAGAUUUAUCAGAUACAAAUUGGGCUGAAGCUGCUGAUAGUUAUCAUGAAGCAUAGAAGCUUAAAAUUCAUGGAACAAAUCUCCAAAUUCUGUAGAAAUCAUAACCCGAAGUUCGAAGGUCAAAGAAUCCCUUGCCCACUUGACCCAUCUCAUUAAAUAAAAGAGAUAAAAAACUAACGAGUUAUUACGAUUUUCCUGGGCUACUGAUCUAUCUCUCUGUCUUUCAUUCUUCAAAGAAGUUUCUAUUACAGAAGACAAAAGGUCAUUGAAUAAACAAUGGAGCCUUACUCGCAACAACAGAUCAAAAAGCAGGAAUGGUCCAGCCUACCGAAGACCAAAGUUGAAAUUAGUUGAAGGAGUGGCGUGGCAUCAUAUGUACCGUCGAUCUAAAUCUGGAGUUUAUGCUCAAACUGUGUAGCAUAAUAGUUCCUUAGUAUUACACAAACUCUAUGGUGUUGAGGGAGAGAUUUGGGUAUUCCUUUCUUUUUCUCCACUAUAGAAAAACUAUUUGGUCUACAU
This is a long non-coding RNA of Papaver somniferum (opium poppy), 894 nucleotides long. RefSeq lists it as uncharacterized. The transcript has 4 exons. The record is from RefSeq and is a predicted model, not a curated record. Lineage: Eukaryota; Viridiplantae; Streptophyta; Magnoliopsida; Ranunculales; Papaveraceae.